RNAcentral lists this ribosomal RNA (468 nucleotides) under uncultured bacterium. RNAcentral's name for it is "partial 16S ribosomal RNA". It matches the Rfam family "Bacterial small subunit ribosomal RNA", at positions 28 to 507 of the family's 1533-position model. The record is from RNAcentral.
GAUGAACGCUGGCGGCGUGCUUAACGCAUGCAAGUCGAACGGAAAGGCCCAAGCUUGCUUGGGUACUCGAGUGGCGAACGGGUGAGUAACACGUGGGUGAUCUGCCCUGCACUUCGGGAUAAGCCUGGGAAACUGGGUCUAAUACCGGAUAGGACGAUGGUUUGGAUGCCAUUGUGGAAAGUUUUUUCGGUGUGGGAUGAGCUCGCGGCCUAUCAGCUUGUUGGUGGGGUAAUGGCCUACCAAGGCGUCGACGGGUAGCCGGCCUGAGAGGGUGUACGGCCACAUUGGGACUGAGAUACGGCCCAGACUCCUACGGGAGGCAGCAGUGGGGAAUAUUGCACAAUGGGCGCAAGCCUGAUGCAGCGACGCCGCGUGGGGGAUGACGGCCUUCGGGUUGUAAACUCCUUUCGCUAGGGACGAAGCGUUUUUGUGUCGGUACCUGGAGAAGAAGCACCGGCUAACUACGUG